This 450-nucleotide ribosomal RNA is filed under the name uncultured Glomeromycotina. Its description in RNAcentral is "SSU rRNA". It matches the Rfam family "Eukaryotic small subunit ribosomal RNA", at positions 569 to 1023 of the family's 1831-position model. Lineage: Eukaryota; Fungi; Glomeromycota. The record is from RNAcentral.
AGCAGCCGCGGUAAUUCCAGCUCCAAUAGCGUAUAUUAAAGUUGUUGCAGUUAAAAAGCUCGUAGUUGAAUUUCGGGGUCAGCAGGUUGGUCGUGCCACUGGUAUGUACUGGCUUUGCUGAUUCCUCCUUCUUGUAGAACCGUAAUGCCAUUAAUUUGGUGUUGCGGGGAAACAGGACUGUUACUUUGAAAAAAUUAGAGUGUUUAAAGCAGGCUAACGCUUGAAUACAUUAGCAUGGAAUAAUGAAAUAGGACGAGCGAUCCUAUUUUGUUGGUUUCUAGGAUUGACGUACUGAUUAAUAGGGAUAGUUGGGGGCAUUAGUAUUCAAUUGUCAGAGGUGAAAUUCUUGGAUUUAUUGAAGACUAACUACUGCGAAAGCAUUUGCCAAGGAUGUUUUCAUUAAUCAAGAACGAAAGUUAGGGGAUCGAAGACGAUCAGAUACCGUCGUAG